Chelonia mydas (Green sea turtle) is the source of this 354-nucleotide long non-coding RNA. RefSeq lists it as uncharacterized. The record is from RefSeq and is a predicted model, not a curated record. Lineage: Eukaryota; Metazoa; Chordata; Testudines; Cheloniidae. The transcript is spliced from 3 exons.
UCCUGCCUUCUACAUCUAUAAGCAGGGACAGGCCCUUGUAAAAACAAAAUGCAAUGGAUGCUGGGAGCACCUGGCUGGUGAGCAUGUGCAGAGCAGGAAAAGAAAGAAGACGGCGAGGUCACUCAACACCGUACUCUGCCCAUCCUGGCCCAUUUCCAUCUCCAGAUCACAAUGUGCUUUCCACACUCUGAUUAAACCCGUCAGCACCCCUGGGAAGGCAUGAUGGUAAAAAUUGAGGCCCAAGGAGGGAAGUGACCUGUCCAAGGUCACGCAAUAGCAGAGCUGGUAAGAGAACGCAGGUCUCUUGAGUCACCACCAGGCUACACAGUACAGUACCGUAGCACUAACCUCAAG